AGUUAUAAAGCUUCCAUUUAGCCAAGCAUGUGCCUUGAAAACACAAGAAAGGAGUUAAAUUCUCCUAAUAACUU
Molecule: transfer RNA, 74 nt
Filed under: Kalotermes flavicollis
Lineage: Eukaryota; Metazoa; Arthropoda; Insecta; Blattodea; Kalotermitidae
Description: tRNA-Ser
Rfam family: tRNA
About the family: Transfer RNA (tRNA) molecules are approximately 80 nucleotides in length. Their secondary structure includes four short double-helical elements and three loops (D, anti-codon, and T loops).
Source: RNAcentral